RNAcentral lists this ribosomal RNA (465 nucleotides) under uncultured bacterium. Its description in RNAcentral is "bacterial SSU rRNA". It matches the Rfam family "Bacterial small subunit ribosomal RNA", at positions 329 to 792 of the family's 1533-position model. The record is from RNAcentral.
CUCCAGACUCCUACGGGAGGCAGCAGUGAGGAAUAUUGGUCAAUGGUCGGGAGACUGAACCAGCCAAGCCGCGUGAGGGAUGAAGGUACAGAGUAUCGUAAACCUCUUUUGUCAGGGAACAAAGGCGGGGACGUGUCCCCGGAUGAGUGUACCUGAAGAAAAAGCAUCGGCUAACUCCGUGCCAGCAGCCGCGGUAAUACGGAGGAUGCGAGCGUUAUCCGGAUUUAUUGGGUUUAAAGGGUGCGUAGGCGGAUUAGUAAGUCAGCGGUAAAAAUGCGGUGCUCAACGCCGUAUCGCCGUUGAAACUGCGGGUCUUGAGUGAGCGAGAAGUAUGCGGAAUGCGUGGUGUAGCGGUGAAAUGCAUAGAUAUCACGCAGAACUCCGAUUGCGAAGGCAGCAUACCGGCGCUCAACUGACGCUGAGGCACGAAAGCGUGGGGAUCGAACAGGAUUAGAUACCCCCGUA